This 756-nucleotide long non-coding RNA is filed under the name Trifolium pratense (red clover). RNAcentral's name for it is "long non-coding RNA (TPRA_LNC014293)". Lineage: Eukaryota; Viridiplantae; Streptophyta; Magnoliopsida; Fabales; Fabaceae. The record is from RNAcentral.
UCCGGUCAUAAACAACACAAUAUCAUUAUAUGAGUAGAAUGGAGAUGAUUUUGGGAUUUAAACCUUAAAGUCCUAAAUUCCCUAAAGUUGUCAUACAUUAAUAUAAUUGGGGAAACUAUUAUCCUAAUCUAACUAAUGUUGUCGUGCAUAUUUAUUUGGGCGACUAGAAGUGGUAACUAAUCUAAAAGUUAAGCUGCUAAAAGAACCCACUUGAGAUUGAUAACAACACCGAGUCAUUGUGCAUGCUCAAAAUCAUCUGAUAGUGCCGCUCGCAUAUGCAAAUUCCGUGACAGAUUUUUCUGCAUAAUUCAGGUUCAGACCUCCAACUUUGAAAUUGUCUCCAGAACUCGUUACUCCUCCAAAAAUGACAGAACCAGCACCUAAACGACCGUAAUUGAGUUAGUUUCACACAGAAUCAAACCCUACUAAAUUUAGAGUUACAAGGAGACAUUUAUUACCGUGCAAGUGCAGAUCUAUACCAACACGAAUUCUGCAGAAACACCGCUUCAGACCCUCAACUUUAAAAGAGCUCAAUAUUAGUCCUAAAUUCGUGAACUUAGUGUCGAAACGACCGAAAUUUCGUUAGUUAUCCAUAGAAACAAACCCCAUACGAAUCAGAGUUACAGAGAGUGAUAAAUUACCUUUUUAGUGCAGGUAUCUCCUUGAAUACAGGUUUCCAUCUCAAAAUUCCAACUUUCUCUUCUAACAUUCAAGCUUGUUGAUCUCAUAAUCCUACAUGAAUUUGUGAAGAAAAAC